GUAUUGAUACCACUAACUUAGAUUGAAAUAAAAUGGACAGAAAAGAAGGAAUUCCUGUGGGACAUAUAAGGGGCUGGGUUGGAGUGGCUGGGGCCAAGGCUGGCUCAGGGCCUCGUGGGCACAUGUGUCCUGCAGAAGCUGCAGAAAGGGAAGAGGAACACGUACAUUAGGAGUGGAGUGCUCAGAGAAGAACCCUCCAGAAGGAAAUUAAUGGUCCCUGCGCACAGCUCUUUAGGUUGCAGGUCCCUUUGAGGAAGGUGAUAUCCUAGCUCAUCCUGUUGGUACAUUUUGCAUAUUUGAGAUAAGUCCUAGAUUAAAGUGGAAAGCUGGCUGAGACUGUUUUCUGAGAACAUCAAGACAGUGAUAAUAUAAUCCAACUUGCUAUCACCUUAAAAGAGGAAGUGGAGCUAAUAGUCCCAUAAUGCAUUAUUUCUAUAAUUGGUGGAAGGAUAUAAU
Molecule: long non-coding RNA, 456 nt
Filed under: Marmota monax (woodchuck)
Lineage: Eukaryota; Metazoa; Chordata; Mammalia; Rodentia; Sciuridae
Source: RNAcentral